CAGCCGCCGCGGUAAUACGAAGGGGGCUAGCGUUGCUCGGAAUGACUGGGCGUAAAGGGCGCGUAGGCGGAUUGCGCAGUCAGAUGUGAAAUUCCUGGGCUUAACCUGGGGGCUGCAUUUGAGACGCGUAGUCUAGAGUGUGAAAGAGGGUCGUGGAAUUCCCAGUGUAGAGGUGAAAUUCGUAGAUAUUGGGAAGAACACCGGUGGCGAAGGCGGCGACCUGGUUCAUAACUGACGCUGAGGCGCGAAAGCGUGGGGAGCAAACAGGAUUAGAUACCCCCGUAGUCCCUGUCUCUUAUAC
RNAcentral lists this ribosomal RNA (301 nucleotides) under uncultured bacterium. RNAcentral describes it as "partial 16S ribosomal RNA". It matches the Rfam family "Bacterial small subunit ribosomal RNA", at positions 509 to 807 of the family's 1533-position model. The record is from RNAcentral.